RNAcentral lists this long non-coding RNA (950 nucleotides) under Homo sapiens (human). Its description in RNAcentral is "long non-coding RNA NONHSAT161527". Lineage: Eukaryota; Metazoa; Chordata; Mammalia; Primates; Hominidae. The record is from RNAcentral.
CCAGGGCUCUGGCCAUAACCCUUUCCUGCUAUUCCUGAGAUCAGAGAUUAGGACAUGGAGGGGUGUCACAGUAUCACAUCUGGGAUCCACAAAGCCUCUGUGCUUCUGUCCUGGGAAGCUCUGACCCAGACCACAAGGUAUGGCCAGUGAAGUUCAGGUGGGGUGCCGUCCUCUCCUGGCACACAGUAUGUGCUUCUAACAUGGCUGACGUUCUGGCCCUUUAUGCAGGGGCUUUGGCUGUUUUUCCCGCCCCAUCCACCCUGAUGGGGACUUGGUGAGUCCUAGGGAGUGGGCAGCACAGUUGAGCAUCUCUCCCCUGCAGUCCUGCUCUGCAUUGCAGAUGGGAAUCAGGAAGGAGUUCCGGAAGGACAUUUCCAGGAUUGCAAGUGUUGCCUUUCAUUGGCUGUAUUCUCUGACCUCCUCCUGGAGUUCACAAGGUACAGGGGAGGAAGGGCUGCUGACCACCGUCCGCCAGAGACAGCACUCUGGGUAGCAGAGCCCUGGGCACUGGUUCUCUGCCAUCUGCAACCCUCAUUCUGGAUGUGAGCUGAGCAGCAGCUGCCUUCUGGAAGCUUCAAUUGUAGCCCACGCCUCACAGAGGGAAGCAGUGCAAGAGUGGGGAUGGCUCAGCGCUGGACAGUCCCCUUCAGGACUGAGGCAGCAAAGCAGUUCCAGGGACUCCCUGGGUCCACUGCCUGGGAAAUCAAUUGGGUCACCCUUGGUUUUGAAGAGGCGUGAGCCUGUCAUGAGUAUCCCAGACGCAAGCACCCUACCCUUGUCUUAUUUAUUUGUUUUACUUUCCCCAUGAAAAUGUAAGCUUCCUGAGAGCAAGAACUUCUUUAAAAACAAACAAACAAACAAAAAACACUCUGUCUCCCUAGCACUUAGAAAAGUGCUGGGCACAAAGCAGAUUUCAAUAAAAUCAUUCACCAAAUGAAGGCAUGAAUAGG